CAUGAAGUGCGAGGCUGGGGAGGCGCUGAUCGAUGUCGAGAGAGAGCUGCCGAUUAGUGCAGCUGCGACGCGGCAAGACGCCAGAGCACUUAGCUUCCCUGCUCCAUUGGGCGGUGGAAUCUCCAUCUCCUCAUCAGAUGAGUCAAAAUUAGACUCUGACUCAACCACCAUUGGCGCCUUUUCUUUUCCUUUUACUUUGAAUGUGUCUCGCUUCUUAGCCAAAGGUUGUGUUGAAGCUCCUUCUCAGAUCUUAAAUGGAACCUCUUGGCCUAGUGGCCGUGUUUGUGCCCUUUGUUGUGUUUGUGCGGUGGCUUGGUACUUCAUAUGAUGGACUCAGU
This 338-nucleotide long non-coding RNA is filed under the name Nicotiana benthamiana. RNAcentral's name for it is "long non-coding RNA (NBEN_LNC017246)". The record is from RNAcentral. Lineage: Eukaryota; Viridiplantae; Streptophyta; Magnoliopsida; Solanales; Solanaceae.